GACGAACGCUGGCGGCGUGCCUAAUACAUGCAAGUAGAACGCUGAAGAGAGGAGCUUACUCUUCUUGGAUGAGUUGCGAACGGGUGAGUAACGCGUAGGUAACCUGCCUUGUAGCGGGGGAUAACUAUUGGAAACGAUAGCUAAUACCGCAUAACAAUGGAUGACACAUGUCAUUUAUUUGAAAGGGGCAAUUGCUCCACUACAAGAUGGACCUGCGUUGUAUUAGCUAGUAGGUGAGGUAAUGGCUCACCUAGGCGACGAUACAUAACCGACCUGAGAGGGUGAUCGGCCACACUGGGACUGAGACACGGCCCAGACUCCUACGGGAGGCAGCAGUAGGGAAUCUUCGGCAAUGGGGGCAACCCUGACCGAGCAACGCCGCGUGAGUGAAGAAGGUUUUCGGAUCGUAAAGCUCUGUUGUAAGUCAAGAACGGGUGUGAGAGUGGAAAGUUCACACUGUGACGGUAGCUUACCAGAAAGGGACGGCUAACUACGUG
This 497-nucleotide ribosomal RNA is filed under the name uncultured bacterium. RNAcentral describes it as "partial 16S ribosomal RNA". It matches the Rfam family "Bacterial small subunit ribosomal RNA", at positions 28 to 507 of the family's 1533-position model. The record is from RNAcentral.